This 575-nucleotide ribosomal RNA is filed under the name Colletotrichum gloeosporioides. Its description in RNAcentral is "eukaryotic LSU rRNA". The stretch from base 223 to 376 matches the Rfam family "5.8S ribosomal RNA". Lineage: Eukaryota; Fungi; Ascomycota; Sordariomycetes; Glomerellales; Glomerellaceae. The record is from RNAcentral.
GUAAAAGUCGUAACAAGGUCUCCGUUGGUGAACCAGCGGAGGGAUCAUUACUGAGUUUACGCUCUAUAACCCUUUGUGAACAUACCUAUAACUGUUGCUUCGGCGGGUAGGGUCUCCGCGACCCUCCCGGCCUCCCGCCUCCGGGCGGGUCGGCGCCCGCCGGAGGAUAACCAAACUCUGAUUUAACGACGUUUCUUCUGAGUGGUACAAGCAAAUAAUCAAAACUUUUAACAACGGAUCUCUUGGUUCUGGCAUCGAUGAAGAACGCAGCGAAAUGCGAUAAGUAAUGUGAAUUGCAGAAUUCAGUGAAUCAUCGAAUCUUUGAACGCACAUUGCGCCCGCCAGCAUUCUGGCGGGCAUGCCUGUUCGAGCGUCAUUUCAACCCUCAAGCUCUGCUUGGUGUUGGGGCCCUACAGCUGAUGUAGGCCCUCAAAGGUAGUGGCGGACCCUCCCGGAGCCUCCUUUGCGUAGUAACUUUACGUCUCGCACUGGGAUCCGGAGGGACUCUUGCCGUAAAACCCCCCAAUUUUCCAAAGGUUGACCUCGGAUCAGGUAGGAAUACCCGCUGAACUUAA